GAUGAACGCUGGCGGCGUGCCUAAUACAUGCAAGUCGAGCGAACGGACGAGAAGCUUGCUUCUCUGAUGUUAGCGGCGGACGGGUGAGUAACACGUGGAUAACCUACCUAUAAGACUGGGAUAACUUCGGGAAACCGGAGCUAAUACCGGAUAAUAUUUUGAACCGCAUGGUUCAAAAGUGAAAGACGGUCUUGCUGUCACUAAUAGAUGGUUCCGCGCUGCAUUAGCUAGUUGGUAAGGUAACGGCUUACCAAGGCAACGAUGCAUAGCCGACCUGAGAGGGUGAUCGGCCACACUGGAACUGAGACACGGUCCAGACUCCUACGGGAGGCAGCAGUAGGGAAUCUUCCGCAAUGGGCGAAAGCCUGACGGAGCAACGCCGCGUGAGUGAUGAAGGUCUUCGGAUCGUAAAACUCUGUUAUUAGGGAAGAACAUAUGUGUAAGUAACUGUGCACAUCUUGACGGUACCUAAUCAGAAAGCCACGGCUAACUACGUG
This 497-nucleotide ribosomal RNA is filed under the name uncultured bacterium. RNAcentral's name for it is "partial 16S ribosomal RNA". It matches the Rfam family "Bacterial small subunit ribosomal RNA", at positions 28 to 507 of the family's 1533-position model. The record is from RNAcentral.